Camellia sinensis is the source of this 209-nucleotide long non-coding RNA. RefSeq lists it as uncharacterized. The record is from RefSeq and is a predicted model, not a curated record. NCBI's taxonomy places the organism in Eukaryota, Viridiplantae, Streptophyta, Magnoliopsida, Ericales, Theaceae.
GAAAGAGAGAGAGAGAGAGAGAGAGAGAGAGAGAGAGAGAGAGAGAGGUAUGAGAAAAUUGAGUCCAUCUAGAUUUCUUGUUCGAAUUUGGAAGGAUUGAAGAGUAGAUAGCAAUUUUGAGCUUCCAUUCUUGAAAAUGAGGACCUAAGGGUUGACAUCCGAGGACGCUCACUAGCCGCUAUUAACCCAGUGCUCUGUGUCCAGGCACC